RNAcentral lists this transfer RNA (67 nucleotides) under Typhlatya monae. RNAcentral's name for it is "tRNA-Ser". The record is from RNAcentral. Lineage: Eukaryota; Metazoa; Arthropoda; Malacostraca; Decapoda; Atyidae.
GGUAAGAUGAACUCGAAUGGAAGCUUCUAACUUCCUCUUCAAGCGGUUAAAAUCCGUUUUUACACCU